GUGUCAGCAGCCGCGGUAAUACAGAGGAUGCAAGCGUUAUCCGGAAUCACUGGGCAUAAAGCGUCUGUAGGUUGUUUAGUAAGUCUGCUGUUAAAGACUGGGGCUUAACCCCAGAAAAGCAGUGGAAACUGCUAGACUUGAGUGUGGUAGAGGUAGAGGGAAUUCCUAGUGUAGCGGUGAAAUGCGUAGAUAUUAGGAAGAACACCAAUGGCGAAGGCACUCUACUGGGCCAUAACUGACACUGAGAGACGACAGCUAGGGGAGCAAACGGGAUUAGAUACCCCGGUAGUCCUAGCCGUAAACGAUGGAUACUAGAUGUUGCACGUAUUAACCCGUGCAGUAUCGUAGCUAAGGCGUUAAGUAUCCCGCCUGGGAAGUACGCUCGCAAGAGUGAAACUCAAAUGAAUUGACGGGG
RNAcentral lists this ribosomal RNA (415 nucleotides) under uncultured prokaryote. RNAcentral's name for it is "bacterial SSU rRNA". It matches the Rfam family "Bacterial small subunit ribosomal RNA", at positions 505 to 918 of the family's 1533-position model. The record is from RNAcentral.